Molecule: ribosomal RNA, 253 nt
Filed under: uncultured bacterium
Lineage: Bacteria
Description: partial 16S ribosomal RNA
Rfam family: Bacterial small subunit ribosomal RNA
Source: RNAcentral
UACAGAGGGGGCAAGCGUUGUUCGGAAUUACUGGGCGUAAAGGGCGCGUAGGCGGCCCGCUAAGUCGAACGUGAAAUCCCCAGGCUCAACCUGGGAACUGCGUCCGAUACUGGCAGGCUUGAAUCCGGGAGAGGGAUGUGGAAUUCCAGGUGUAGCGGUGAAAUACGUAGAUAUCUGGAGGAACACCGGUGGCGAAGGCGGCUACCUGGCCCAACAUUGACGCUGAGACCCGAAAGCAUGGGGAUCAAACAGG